UACAGAGGGUGCGAGCGUUAAUCGGAAUUACUGGGCGUAAAGGGCGCGUAGGCGGCCCGAUAAGUCGGAUGUGAAAGCCCUGGGCUCAACCUGGGAACUGCAUACGAUACUGUCAGGCUAGAGUAUGGUAGAGGUAAGCGGAAUUCCGGGUGUAGCGGUGAAAUGCGUAGAUAUCCGGAGGAACAUCAGUGGCGAAGGCGGCUUACUGGACCAAUACUGACGCUGAGGCGCGAAAGCGUGGGGAGCAAACAGGAUUAGAUACCCUGGUAGUCCACGCCCUAAACGAUGAGAACUAGCCGUUGGGAGCAUUUAAGCUUUUAGUGGCGUAGCUAACGCGUUAAGUUCUCCGCCUGG
This 354-nucleotide ribosomal RNA is filed under the name uncultured Gammaproteobacteria bacterium. RNAcentral's name for it is "bacterial SSU rRNA". It matches the Rfam family "Bacterial small subunit ribosomal RNA", at positions 524 to 876 of the family's 1533-position model. Lineage: Bacteria; Pseudomonadati; Pseudomonadota; Gammaproteobacteria. The record is from RNAcentral.